UCAGCUCUUCAUCACAAUCAUCUCUCCUUAUCUCUUGUUAAAGCUAGAUAUCUACUUGGAGGCUGCUGGGGAGUGUUCCAGAGAGACAUGAGAUGCACCCUACCUUCCCCUGAGCCCAAAAGAAUCCAGGUCUUAGCAACAGCUCAUCGUGGCACCAUGCUAUGUCAGAACUGCUGCAGACUUGAAAGGCUUUUCAAUGCAUUUUAUUAUGUGCUUAACAUGAACAGACAUGUUCCCUCUCCCAUCUGCAAGAAAGAGGCCGCUACUUCAAAACCUUUCUCGGCUAAUACACCAGAGCAGCCCGGUGGACUAGAUGUUCUGAACUAGUGUAACUCACUGAGGAGCAAGAAUCAUCACCACAGGGGUAUAACAGUCUCACUAGGCUGCAGUAUCUCCAUUUAUUUUUAGACUUCUGCACCACAGCUGGAGCUGACUACUCCAGGAAUCGUAAUUUCUGCCUUUGGAAAGUAGAAAGAGCUGUGUUCACAACUUAUCCUCAGAAAGGUAUUAAUAAUGAAAAAUAGGGCAAUGUAUAAAAUAUAUUAUUUAAGGAUAGUUUUAAAGAUGGCCUGUGUAGCAGUAGUUAACAUUCAGUGGAGUAAAAACUAUGACAAAUUCCACUAAUAAGAUGUUAGGUAUUCAGGAGGUCAUACAAGCCAUCUCUAAGCUACUACUUGUAAAGGUGGCCUAAACAAAAGCAAAACAAAGUGUAGACACACCGUUUUUAUUUCUUUCUACUGGAUUAAGUAGCUCGAUAUAUAUAGAUAUAUAUAAAGAUUGUAUUCUACAUGCUUUUUACAUUUUAAAUAUUAGGUUGUCACUUCCUUGCAUGUGCUGGAAGACAGGCAAACUAGCGGGACAUACUGAGGGACUAAAACUUGAGCAAGUAUGAGCAAAACUUGCUUUUGUAAAUAACUAUUUAGCUCUAACUUCUGAAAAACAUUUGAGAGAAAAGCUUUCUCUGUGCAAUAAAGGGCUGAGGAACCUAUCA
RNAcentral lists this long non-coding RNA (991 nucleotides) under Chrysemys picta bellii (western painted turtle). RNAcentral describes it as "lncRNA (ENSCPBG00000007857.1)". The record is from RNAcentral. Lineage: Eukaryota; Metazoa; Chordata; Testudines; Emydidae.